GUGAUUGACGGUCUUCCUUGGUGAGCGGUUUUGGUGUGUAUUGUGAAAUUGAAGACGCAGCGGGAUUAGAGAGCAUGCUAGCGGGUAGUCCUGCAGGUCAGGAGGAUCAUGGCGGAGAUCGUGCGGAUUAGAGUAUUUGUUUUUAGUUUUACAGCCUUGUAAAUUGUGAGGUGAGUGAUGCUCAAUUUGAGCUUUACAAAUUUACUUUGUACAAGUGAGUUGUAUUAAUUAAACUGAGGUUUUCGAGAUUUGAAAUUUGAGUGGCGUGUGUUGUAGUUGUUUAUUCAUGUUU
This 292-nucleotide long non-coding RNA is filed under the name Rosa chinensis. RNAcentral's name for it is "sRNA RchiOBHm_Chr7g0241341". Lineage: Eukaryota; Viridiplantae; Streptophyta; Magnoliopsida; Rosales; Rosaceae. The record is from RNAcentral.